Molecule: ribosomal RNA, 346 nt
Filed under: uncultured bacterium
Lineage: Bacteria
Description: bacterial SSU rRNA
Rfam family: Bacterial small subunit ribosomal RNA
Source: RNAcentral
GUCUCACAGUUUGAUCCUGGCUCAGAACGAACGCUGGCGGCGCGCUUAACACAUGCAAGUCGAACGAGAAGGCGGGGCAACCGCUUGUAAAAGUGGCGAACGGGUGAAGAAUACAUGGGUGACCUACCCUCGAGUGGGGAAUAACCCGCCGAAAGGCGGGCUAAUGCCGCGUACGCUUCCAUUCUCGCGGGAGUGGAAGGAAAGCUGUGCCGUUGGGUACGGCGCUCAAGGAUGGGCUCAUGUCCUAUCAGCUUGUUGGUAGGGUAACGGCCUACCAAGGCAACGACGGGUAGCUGGUCUGAGAGGACGAUCAGCCACACUGGCACUGCGACACGGGCCAGACUCC